CGAUACUCAUUUAAAAAGGUUUCUACCUUGAGAGUAUUAAUACUCCGUGAAAUUGUUUGUGACCUAGUUCUGACAUUCUUGAACACCGUAAGGUGACCUAUAAUUGUUCAUUUCUGUGUCAAUCGGUCUUUUGUAGCGAUAUUGGUCUCAUUGACAAUCAUACGACAUCUUCUUUAUAUAGAUCUGAGCAUUAAUGAAGUUCAGCUACUAAUUGUUUUUUUCGAUCCAUAGAUGAGAAUGGAACACACUUACGAGUCUUAAACUUAACCUUGAACUUUGAGGUAGCUAAAAAAAUGAAAAAGGGCAGCUUUACGUAUUUGGUUAUCAGGAAGUUGAUAAGUGAUGGAUGUAUAUAAGGCUCACAUAAAACACCAUUAAAAAUUUCGAAGACCUUGAUGUGUGAUUUCUGGGAAGAAUGCAACAAAAAACAAAAAAAAGAAACAUUAUUAUUAAAAGAAUUAACCAGAAGAAACAAAAG
Molecule: long non-coding RNA, 478 nt
Filed under: Mytilus galloprovincialis (Mediterranean mussel)
Lineage: Eukaryota; Metazoa; Mollusca; Bivalvia; Mytilida; Mytilidae
Source: RNAcentral